GUCCUAAGGCGAGGCCGACAGUCGUAGUCGAAUGGAUGAACGGGUGGAUAUUCCCGUACCGACCAUGGACCGGCAAAACCGAGACGGUGAGUACUAACCUCCGCCUCGUGGUGGUUCCUUCCUUCGGGUUGGUUCCGCCGCGUGGUGUUGGGAGCGUAGCCGCAGUAGGUCAGCGCAGGGGUGACACGGAAUGGGAGCCGGCCGCGGAGGUGGUUUUCCGUGGUCAAGCACGCAGCCAGUCAUGUAGGCAAAUCCGCAUGGCGCGCAUGGCGAGGUGUGAUGAUGGGAGCCGUUAUGGCUCGAUAUCCGGUUGUCCAGGCCGUCGAGAAAAGCCUCGGCGUGAGGGCCAUGGCCGCCCGUACCCCAAACCGACACUGGUGGUCAGGUAGAGAAUACCAAGGCGAUCGAGCGAAUCCUGGUCAAGGAACUCGGCAAAUCACUCCCGUGCCUUCGGUAUAAGGGAGACCCGCUGGGGUGAACCGGCUAGCCCGGGGAGCUUUGGUGGGUGGCACAGACCAGGGGGUAGCGACUGUUUACCAAAAACACAGGUGCAUGCGAAGGCGAAAGCCGCUGUAUAUGCACUGACGCCUGCCCGGUGCCGGAAGGUUAAGAGGAUCCGUCAAUCCCUUCGGGGACGAAGCGGUGAAUUCAAGCCCCGGUAAACGGCGGUGGUAACUAUAACCAUCCUAAGGUAGCGAAAUUCCUUGUCGGGUAAGUUCCGACCUGCACGAAUGGCGUAACGACUUCCCCACUGUCUCGACCAGGAGCUCGGCGAAAUUGCAGUACGAGUAAAGAUGCUCGUUAAGCGCAGAAGGACGAAAAGACCCCGGGACCUUUACUAUACCUUGGUAUUGGCGUUAGGCGCGGAUUGUGUAGCAUAGGCGGGAGGCUUCGAAGCGGGUGCGCCAGCAUUCGUGGAGCCGCAAGGUGAAAUACCGCUCUGUUCUCGUUUGACGUCUAACCUCGACAAGUCAUCCUUGUCAGGGACAGUGCCUGGCGGGUAGUUCAACUGGGGCGGUUGCCUCCCAAAGAGUAACGGAGGCGCUCAAAGGUCCGCUCAGCCCGGUUGGCAAUCGGGUGUCGAGUGUAAUCGCACAAGCGGGCUUGACUGCGAGGACGACGGUCCGAGCAGGGACGAAAGUCGGAGAUAGUGAUCCGGUGCCGGCGCACGGGCGCGGCAUCGCUCAACGGAUAAAAGGUACUCCGGGGAUAACAGGCUGAUCAUUCCCAAGAGUCCAUAUCGACGGGAUGGUUUGGCACCUCGAUGUCGGCUCGUCGCAUCCUGGGGCUGGAGCAGGUCCCAAGGGUUCGGCUGUUCGCCGAUUAAAGCGGCACGCGAGCUGGGUUCAGAACGUCGUGAGACAGUUUGGUCUCUAUCCUCUGCGCUCGUUGGAAUGCUGAGGAGGCCUGCCCAUAGUACGAGAGGACCUGGGUGGACGAACCUCUGGUAUGCCGGUUGUCGCGCCAGCGGCACGGCCGGUUGGCUACGUUCGGGAGGGAUAACCGCUGAAAGCAUCUAAGCGGGAAGCCUGCUCCAAGAUUAGGAUUCCGUACGGUCUUGAACCGUUGUAGCCCGCAUGUUGAACACGUGUUUGAUAGGCCGGAGGUGGAAGCCCCGUGAGGGGUGGAGCCGACCGGUACUAACGGGCGACGGCGACACAAC
Molecule: ribosomal RNA, 1663 nt
Filed under: human gut metagenome
Description: bacterial LSU rRNA
Rfam family: Bacterial large subunit ribosomal RNA
Source: RNAcentral